RNAcentral lists this long non-coding RNA (869 nucleotides) under Pongo abelii (Sumatran orangutan). RNAcentral's name for it is "lincRNA". Lineage: Eukaryota; Metazoa; Chordata; Mammalia; Primates; Hominidae. The record is from RNAcentral.
AGAGAGAGCCAGAGUUGCCAUAGCCGGCCUGGCAGCACAAGCCCGGAGCCGACACGGGGCCACAGCCACGAUGCAGCCACUCCCACUGACCCUGGGGCUGAACCUGCUUUCCACGCUGUGAUCCCAGGGGACCCAGGUGGUUCCCGCCCCUGCUGAGAAGGUGGAAGGACUGUGGCACGCCCUGCGCUGGGAGCAGGACAGGGAGCUACUUAAAGAGGAGACGGCUCACCCUCUGCCACCAUUCUGGAUCCAGCGCUUCCAGGGUAACUUAUGUUACAAAUGACGGUAAGUUUCAGUCAGCAGGUCCCUUUUUAAUUGGACCAUGUGCUAAAGAACGCCACACACAGAGGGCUUGCUCAGGCUCCAGGCUCAGCCCAGGACCUUCCUGCCCCAAGCGCCUCACCACAAUCUCUCACAGGCACUUCUGUAAGAUGGGACAGUCCAGUUGCAGGAAAACGAGCUCAGGGCUCCCACAGAUUCUCCACUAUGUGGGAACUGCACAGUAUUUAAGACACUGCUGGUGAAAACAGACAACUCUACCACGUACAGAAUCUAUUCCUGCGUAGUCAGCUGUAACUUAGGUGAGUGCCGCAAGGCCUCCACGUGUGUUCAGAGUGUCCACACCAGACUCUGGCCGGACUCCGUGGGUCCUGGGACUCUGCAGCCCUCGACCUUGGCAGCCUCCUUGCCUUCGGGUGCUUGAAUGCCAUGCAGCAUCCGAUGCAACCCACGACCUUGAGUCUAUUAUGAGUCAAGUGUGGUCGCUGUAGAUAAGGAUGAAAAAAGAUCAUGAAAAAGAACAACAACAGCAAAAUCACUCAUGGCCUGGCGUGGUGGCUCACGCCUGUAAUUCCAGCACUUUGGGAGGC